UACGGGGGGGGCAAGCGUUGUUCGGAAUUACUGGGCGUAAAGGGUUCGUAGGUGGCUGGCUAAGUCAGACGUGAAAUCCCUCAGCUUAACCGGGGAACUGCGUCCGAUACUGGAUGGCUUGAGUUCGGGAGAGGGAUGCGGAAUUCCAGGUGUAGCGGUGAAAUGCGUAGAUAUCUGGAGGAACACCGGUGGCGAAGGCGGCAUCCUGGACCGACACUGACGCUGAGGAGCGAAAGCCAGGGGAGCAAACGGG
Molecule: ribosomal RNA, 253 nt
Filed under: uncultured bacterium
Lineage: Bacteria
Description: partial 16S ribosomal RNA
Rfam family: Bacterial small subunit ribosomal RNA
Source: RNAcentral